AACAUUCCCCAAGUUUUGCUUUUCAAGUCCAUUACUCUCAGUUCAUGUCUCUGUUUGGUUUCAUAAUCUUGCUUCUCACUACCGUCCUUGGGAAGAAGAUAUUUUCCCUUGCAACUCUGGUUAGCUGGUGAUCCUCUUCUUUGUCUUCUUCUGCUCUUCGCUUUAUGAUCUGAACUGUCAUUGUUACUCUCCCUCACUCUCUACAGCCUUAUCCAUUGGUAGUACUUUUCUCUCUAAUGCAAUUCCUGGUGUCUUUAGGCACAUCUUUGAUCCUUUAAUGGUGGUAUCUUUUUGAUAUUACUGACUUUCACUUUUGGUAAUUACUUGUUCUGGGCUGCUAGAAAAUUAUGUUUGGAUGAACUGUUCUUCCAUGUGCAUGAUUUCCUUCUGAUGAGGGCAAAGUGGUUGAGUUCAUCUUUUGGACGUGCAUCGUGACCAGUUUGUUACUUAUUACUCAAAUAUUAGAUUUACGCAUUUAUAGGUUAUUUCGACCUUAGGAAUAGGAACAUUUUGCACUUUAAAUGAUCAUUCAAUUUAUUGGUAACUUGACUAUUAUUCGAGCUUAUUGGAGUUCAUUGAUUAGAUCUUGUUUCCAGAUUAAAUUAACUUAGUUGGAAGGAAUAUGCUUGGAUUGGAGAAUCGAGGAGAUGGAAAUGUUUGAUAUAGAUUUAAAUCGUGGGAAGAGUCUUAAUUAAGCAUUCUGUUCCCCUCAAUUCAAAGAUACGGCUAGAAAAUCAUUAAAAUAUUUAUUAUUCUCAAACUGAAGGCAGGGAUUCUCAAAUAUACUUAUUAUAAAUCGUCUGACGUCGAACUUUUCCCAUGCUGAAAGCCUACUGAUUUUUGUACCUGCUGCAAACUUAUUAAUCUAUAUUUUCUGGUGUAGAUUUAGUUUCUUCGGCUAUUUAUUCAGAAAAUCUUUGGAAUUUGGCGAAGGAACCAUGUUUGGAUUGCAUGUAUUGAUGAUUACUAGGAGACAUGGCUGCAAAUGGUGGGAAAGGGACUGAAGAACAGAAGAGGAAAGCUAGUGAUUAUUUUGGGGCUGAAACAUGUCAAGUUCACCAAGAAUGAGAACAUCUGCGAGGAAGGAUUGGCCAGAGAGCUUUUUGAAUGGCAAUGAUAUCGGUAAUGAGGAGAAGCAUUUGGAUAGGUGCCUUACUUCCUUGGCUGGGUCUGGACCUCAUAGUGCUGGUUUAUGUUCUACAACAAGCAAUGGGUGCAUUGUUGAGGAGUUAACUUUUAGAAAUCAUAGGAACCCGAAUUCGGCUUUAGUUAGUCAUACACUUAGUUCCAGACUGCCUCAGAUAAAUCAAUCAGGUAACGAAUCUGAAUGUGUGAACUCAAGUAGAGAAACUGCACCAAAGGAUGAAGAAAAUAUAUCCGACAGGCUAAGCAAGGAAACUAGGGGAAAUGCUUCUAAUUUUUGGAGCUUGAAGUCUUUGUCCAGUAAGAAAAUGAAUUAUGACCCAGAAAAAAUUGCUGAAAAUAUAGGUAAUGGGGACAAGACGAUGACUUUAAGCAAUGCACUUCUUGUUAGCACUGCCAUGCAGGACACUUCAUCUACGUACAAUUUUUCUCCAUUGGUACUGAAACAAAAACUGAAGGGAAAGGGAGUUGUCUGCAAAGAUGCAGCAGACAACAGUGUUGAGCCCCAUGGAGCAUUUAUUGGAAAGGAGGAUAAAACACCUGCCUUUAUGGCUAAAUCUCAUUCUGAUACACUGCUGAGACCUAAUUCUGCUGCUGCUGAUAAGCCUUUGCAAAAAUUUGUCAUGUCCAGUGUAGAAUCCUCCAAUAAUGGGAUCAACUUAAGAGAGUUGUUGAUUUCUUCGGGUCAUAAAAUUAGUAAACAAGGAAGACUACAUAUUUUCAAACAAAUCCUGGAAUUUGUCAAUUUUGCACACUCACAGGGAGUUGUAUUGCAACACCUAAGACCCUCUUGUUUCACUUUAUUGCCUUCAAAUAAAGUUAAGUACACUGGUUCAUUAGUCCAAGGAGAGUUAUAUGAUGUCCCAGCAUGCAAUACAGCUAGGAAAAGGCCCAUGGAAGAGGAUUUCUGUUCAUGCCUUAGUUUGGGUGCAAAGCAGCAAAAACUCCACGAGAUAAAAUCUAUUGGGCAGCGGCAUUGCUUUAGAUCUAUUUGUGCCUGCAGGACUAAACCAGUGAAUCUUAUUGAUUCCUUCAAAACUGGAUCAAUGGGCCCAUUAAUUACAGAAAGUGUGCAGCCAAAUAGUUUUAGACACCAACAUUCCACAGAUGAAAAGCAAAUAAUUGACGUGACUGCCCAGUUGGAAGAGAAGUGGUAUUCUAGCCUGGAAGUUCUCAAUGAUGGAGGCUGUACAUUUUCAUCCAAUAUUUAUAGGCUUGGGGUUCUGCUCUUUGAGUUGCUAUGCAAUAUUGAGUCUUGGGAAGUGCAUUCAGAAAUGAUGUUGGAUCUGCAUCAGCGAAUCCUACCACCAAAAUUUCUAUCUGAGAAUCCAAAGGAAGCUGGAUUUUGUCUUUGGCUUUUGCAUCCUGAACCUUCUUCUCGUCCCACUACUAGGAUGAUUUCGGAAUCUGAAAUAUUCCGUGAUUUAGUGAAAUUGAAUUCUCAAGAUGAUGAUAUCUUGGUGUCUGAUGAUGAUGAAGCUGAAACAGAGCAACUGAUAUAUUUUUUAACCUCACUUAGAGAAGGAAAGGAAAGACAGACUGCCAAAUUAGCUGAAGAGCUAAGUUGCUUAGAAGAAGAUAUUAAAGAGGUUGAAAGAAGGUAUUCGCUUGGGGCAGCUUCAUUAUUUCCUAUGGAAAAAAAUGGCUUUUCUAAAUUCAGUAGAAACAGUUCUCAUCUUCAAGAUCCUUUCAGUUCAGAUAUUAGCAGAUCAAUUCAGGCAUCAUGUGUUAAUGAAGCCAGAUUUAUGAGAAAUAUCAAUCAGCUAGAGACUGCAUACUUCUCCAUGAGAUCCUGGAUCCUGCUUACAGAAGAUGCAGCUGUUGCGCCUUAUGAUAAAGAUGUGCUAAAAAGUAGAUGGAGAUUGUCUCAAGCACAUAAUGACAAUGAGGAGCAAAGAAUAAAACGGAGAUCCACUGAUCGUCUUGGAUCCUUCUUUGAAGGUUUAUGCAAGUUUGCUCGUUACAGCAAGUUUGAAGAGUGUGGCAUAUUAAGAAGUCAAGAUCUUCUUAAUUCUUCCAAUGUAAUGUGUGCAUUAAGUUUUGACCGUGAUGAGGACUACAUUGCAGCUGCUGGAGUUUCAAAAAAAAUCAAGAUUUUUGAUGUCAGUGCAAUUUCCAGCAAUUCUAUUGACAUGCAGUACCCCAUAGUUGAGAUGUCUAAUAAAUCAAAGCUUAGCUGUGUGUGCUGGAACAGCUAUAUCAAAAGCCAUUUGGCAUCUACUGAUUAUGAUGGUGUAGUUCAGAUGUGGGAUGCAGACACUGGUCAGCCAUUUUCUCAAUACAUGGAACACCAGAAGAGAGCAUGGUCCGUUCACUUCUCUCAGUCCGACCCUAAAAUGUUUGCUAGUGGAAGUGACGACUGCUCUGUGAAACUAUGGAACAUCAGCGAGAGAAACUCCAUUGGCACCAUAUGGAACCCCGCCAACGUAUGCUGUGUUCAGUUCUCUUCUUACUCAACAAAUCUUUUAGUUUUUGGAUCAGCUGAUUACAAAAUCUAUGGUUAUGAUCUUCGGCACACUAGAAUCCCUUGGUGCACAUUAUCUGGUCACGGGAAAGCUGUCAGCUAUGUAAAAUUUCUGGACUCUGAAACACUCGCCUCAGCUUCCACAGACAGCUCUUUGAAGCUUUGGGACCUGAAGAAAACCAGCUCUUCGGGGUUGUCUUCCGGUGCCUGUAGCUUAACCUUUAAAGGCCAUACUAACGAAAAGAACUUUGUGGGUUUGUCUGUCGUUGAUGGAUACGUUGCGUGUGGUUCAGAAACUAAUGAGGUGUAUUGUUAUCACAGAUCUCUGCCAGUGCCUAUCACUUCUUACAAAUUUGGAUCCAUUGAUCCCAUUUCUGGACAAGAAAAUAUUGAUGAUGGUAAUGGGCAGUUUGUCUCUAGUGUCUGCUGGAGAAAGAAGUCUGGAAUGCUUGUUGCUGCUAAUUCAAUUGGAGCUGUAAAACUAUUGAAGAUGGUCUGAUAGGAAGUCAGGAAAGAUGACGAAUGGUGUCACUAAAUAUUACUGUGCGCUUAUCAGCAGACUGGGAAAAGGCUGAAUGAGGGUCCAAUGGCAUUGGUUCAAAGGAGCAUGUUGGUGGAUUUAUUUUCAGUAGAUAGUUCAUCCUUUCUGGUGGUUGGUUCACAAUAUGCCAUGAGGAACAUUCACUCACCUAAUUCAUAUAAGCUGCUGAUCAACAAAUAUAUGAAACAUGUGCAGAGCAGGCUUGAACUGCAUGACUGCUGAAACUGAAGCCUGUGAGUCUUUUUAACACUGUGACACUACCACUGAUGCAUCUAACUAUUUGAUCACUACAGUACGCUGGCCUAAGCAAAAUAUAGAAGCUUUUGAUUCAACAAAUUCUGAUCUAGGGCCGACUUUCCUCGUCAACAAGCUGGGAUACGAGGCUGACCUUAAAUGCUUACUUGAAAUUUCAGUGAAGGCUAGGAAAUCCAUCAAGCAUUGAAUGAGCCUGGCUUUUCAACUAUCUAUUGGUGUGAUUACAAGAAGGCAACCACAAAAAUCUAUACAACUACUAUCCUUUUUCAUAAGCUGCUUAUGUCAAGAAUGCCUAUGUUCAAACUGGUAAAAUUUCUGGAAGCAAGUUUAAUUAUGUGAUCAUAAAUGAGCAGAAAUUUGAGUAUAUAAUGGUCAAACUGCUUGCAUGGUACCCGAAGAUCUCGUGUUGGUAAGCUGAUAUCUAAGGAAGCUCAGAAUCUGAGACAUGACAAGGAGAUGCUCUUCUAAUUCUUGAACUAAAUGUCAUUAGGUGGCUCCCUGAAGUCAACUUAAGACUUCGGGAACAAAGAGACACCCGUGGAGGCCUGUUCGAUUGUCUAUUUGUUGUAACUGCAUUGCAAAUCAAUUGAAGAUGUCAGAAAGCAAUUAUGUUUUUAUUCAAAUAUUGAAUGAAGAAGUUAAUGCAAGAAAAGAAGGCAAGUCAGGGCAGCCUUUGAACGAAUUCUUCUUUAUACUGAGAUGUCUACAUUGCAGAUGCAACUGAAUUGCUUUCUCAGGCGCGAAUGUAUCCAUAUUAUGUUUUUAUUCAGUGAUCAUAUCCAAAUUUCAGGACACAGAAUAGUCGGCACUGUAUAUAUCAAUUAUUUCUUGCAUGUUUUCUAUGUAUUUCUCCAUUCAGUAGUUCUGUUUUCAAAAUAUUCGGUAAAAUGAGGUCAUAUUCUGCAGUCGAGCAAAGACAGACUCCGUCGUUCAAACUGCUUCCUUUUGGCUUGCUGAA
This is an RNA transcript of Neltuma alba, 5361 nucleotides long. It is a transcript of the gene named protein SUPPRESSOR OF PHYA-105 1, with no coding region annotated. NCBI's taxonomy places the organism in Eukaryota, Viridiplantae, Streptophyta, Magnoliopsida, Fabales, Fabaceae. The record is from RefSeq and is a predicted model, not a curated record. The transcript is spliced from 8 exons.